This 253-nucleotide ribosomal RNA is filed under the name uncultured bacterium. Its description in RNAcentral is "partial 16S ribosomal RNA". It matches the Rfam family "Bacterial small subunit ribosomal RNA", at positions 524 to 776 of the family's 1533-position model. The record is from RNAcentral.
UACGGAGGGUGCAAGCGUUAUCCGGAUUCACUGGGGUUAAAGGGUGCGUAGGAGGGCAGGUAAGUCAGUGGUGAAAUCUCCGAGCUUAACUUGGAAACUGCCGUUGAUACUAUCUGUCUUGAAUAUUGUGGAGGUGAGCGGAAUAUGUCAUGUAGCGGUGAAAUGCUUAGAUAUGACAUAGAACACCAAUUGCGAAGGCAGCUCGCUACACAUAUAUUGACUCUGAGGCACGAAAGCGUGGGGAUCAAACAGG